GACGAACGCUGGCGGCGUGCUUAACACAUGCAAGUCGAACGGAAAGGCCCUGCUUGCAGGGUACUCGAGUGGCGAACGGGUGAGUAACACGUGGGUGAUCUGCCCUGCACUUCGGGAUAAGCCUGGGAAACUGGGUCUAAUACCGGAUAUGACCUUCCAUGUAGUGUGGGGGGUGGAAAGAUUUAUCGGUGUGGGAUGAGCCCGCGGCCUAUCAGCUUGUUGGUGGGGUACUGGCCUACCAAGGCGUCGACGGGUAGCCGGCCUGAGAGGGUGGACGGCCACAUUGGGACUGAGAUACGGCCCAGACUCCUACGGGAGGCAGAAGUGGGGAAUAUUGCACAAUGGGCGGAAGCCUUAUGCAGCGACGCCGCGUGGGGGAUGACGGCCUUCGGGUUGUAAACCUCUUUCGACAGGGACGAAGCUUCGGUGACGGUACCUGUAGAAGAAGCACCGGCUAACUACGUG
RNAcentral lists this ribosomal RNA (465 nucleotides) under uncultured bacterium. RNAcentral's name for it is "partial 16S ribosomal RNA". It matches the Rfam family "Bacterial small subunit ribosomal RNA", at positions 28 to 507 of the family's 1533-position model. The record is from RNAcentral.